AUUGAACGCUGGCGGCAUGCCUUACACAUGCAAGUCGAACGGUAACAGGUCUUCGGAUGCUGACGAGUGGCGAACGGGUGAGUAAUACAUCGGAACGUGCCCGAUCGUGGGGGAUAACGGAGCGAAAGCUUUGCUAAUAACUCAUUCGAACUACGGAUGAAAGCAGGGGACCGCAAGGCCUUUCGCGUGCGGAGCGGCCGAUGGCAGAUUAGGUAGUUGGUGGAAUAAAAGCUUACCAAGCCGACGAGCUGUAGCUGGUCUGAGAGGACGAGCAGCCACACUGGGACUGAGACACGGCCCAGACUCCUACGGGAGGCAGCAGUGGGGAAUUUUGGACAAUGGGCGCAAGCCUGAUCCAGCCAUGCCGCGUGCAGGAUGAAGGCCUUCGGGUUUUAAACUGCUUUUGUACGGAACGAAAAGACUCUUUCUAAUAAAGAGGGUCCAUGACGGUACCGUAAGAAUAAGCACCGGCUAACUACGUGCCAGCAGCCGCCGUAA
This 498-nucleotide ribosomal RNA is filed under the name uncultured bacterium. Its description in RNAcentral is "partial 16S ribosomal RNA". It matches the Rfam family "Bacterial small subunit ribosomal RNA", at positions 30 to 523 of the family's 1533-position model. The record is from RNAcentral.